UCUGUUCCAAUAUUUGGACUUUGACCUCAGUUCCUGACACAGAUCUCCUAAAUCCUUGGCAAUUUCCUGGAUGAUAGGAUCAUCUUUUGUUCUAAUGAAGCAACUCUUGGUGGGCUCACAGAGAGUCUCAAGACAGGAGCUGGUUGCCAAGGAAACCAACCAUGCAAUAAGAGGAUUAGAAUAUUCAGCCCCACCCCAUGACUUCCAGAGACAGAGGAAAGGCUGAAGGUUGAGUUGAUUACCAGUAGCUCACGAUAUAAUCAUUCAUGCCUACAUAACACAGCUUUCAUAAGAACCCAAUAGGACAGGGUUCAAGGACCCUCUAAAGAAUGCCACACCUAUAGAGGCAUGGAAACUCUUUGCCACUUUCAUCUGACUAUUGAUCUAUAUCCUUUGUAAUGCCUCUUAUAAGAAAUGGGCAGAUUCUAGCAGUGUUUGUGAGAAAAACUGAUGGAUCCUGCAGAUUAACUAUGGACAGCCAAAUAUUGAGUAAAGUGAUGUCUACAACAGCAUCAGCUAUGCCUGAUAUGGUGUUAAUUCACAUUGUGAAGUUCCAAAAUCAGAAGAUGAUACAGAAAGAUUGCUCUGGUUGCCUGGUUUCUGAAGAAAUCGUGUACCCUGUCUGGAUAGUGUCUUACUUCCUAUCCACAAAGUUGUGAAAUAAUCUGGAAUUAAAUGGCAACCUAAACAACCCUAGAGUUGCCUGAACACAGAGCCAUUGCUGUGUUGAUCAUUAUAGCAGUCCUCAAUAGGAAAAAGAUGCCUCCCUGGUCGACCUUCCUGGAAAGUAUGCAUAUCAUUACUGCUUAGAUUUUGUUGGAGAGAAAUCACACUACCAUCAAAGACAACGGGUCAAAAAGAAUGCCGUCCUAAGCUGAGAAGCCAUCUUCCUAACGACAGCCAUGUAAUAUGAAAGGGAAAAACACACUGUUAUUGAAGAACUUAUCAGCUAUGUCACAUCUUCCACACAAAUACUCAGGAAAGUUAAAAGAAAAUUUUACCUCGGACACAGUUGAUGAUUGCUAAAGUCCUAUUGCAUGCUUUAAGAUGCCUUGCGUUUGGUGAAUUGAAGCCUGAUAUGUCAACAUACUCUCUGUAAACACAGCAGCACAGAGGGCAAAGAAACACUUAUCCAGCACCACAGCUAGGACAAAAGGAAUUAUUUUGACAGUAAAUGGACUUGCAGCUUAAGGUUGGUAUGUACCCAAUUGUGACUAAACCAAAAGAAACAAAUCUGGAAACUGAAGUAUCAAUACGUGAAAAGCGUUCUUUUGGUAUUGGGAGUGCCAGUUGUCUUUGUUUCAUGAACUACUUCUCCGUAAUAGCAUGCAGCCAUCUUCAAGAGGUGAGAAUUUCACUUAGCGACUUAAACAGAAGUGUUAUCUCAAGAUAAUAUAAUAUCUGGAGGUAAAACAGCAUCCCCAGGAUAAACAGGAAUACUACACUCUUCCUUAAAUAACAAAAACUGCGGCUGGGCGUGGUGGCUCACACUUGUAAUCCCAGCACUUUGGGAGGCCGAGGUGGGCGGAUCACGAGGUCAGGAGAUGGAGACCAUCUUGGCUAACACGGUGAAACCCCGUCUCUACUAAAAAUACAAAAAAUUACACAGGCGCGGUGGCGGGCGCCUAUAGUCCCAGCUACCCGGGAGGCUGAGGCGGGAGAAUGGCGCGAACCUGGGAGGCGGAGCUUGCAGUGAGCCAAGAUCGCGCCACUGCACUCCAGCCUGGGCGACAGAGCAAAACUUCGUCUCAAAAAAAAAAAAAAAAAAAAAACUGGAAAAUUUGUUCUAAACAGCUUCAUGGGAAGAGAUAAUGAGCUAUGCAGCUCAACAUAAUUCAACAAAUAUUUGUUGAGUAUCUAUACUAGAACCUGUUCCAGAUGUUUGAAAUACUUCAGUGAACAUACCAUUUUUUAUAGAAAAAAGACCACUUUCUUUACCUUUGUGGAGCUUGCAUUCUAUCAGUGGGAGACAUACACUCCACCAUUGUUACACUAAGUAAGUAUAAUAUUUAGCCAAUUCUUAUAAAUUGUAUGUUACCUCAGCAUCCAUUUUGAAAAUAGGUUUAACUUGCACAUACCAGAAGCUUGGCUUAGUGACCCUCAAAGGAGUUUUCACUUCCUCCAAAGUCCUAUAUGUGGUCGCCUCCGAUAUCUGCCGUAUACAACUGUCUCCUGGUGACCACCUCCCUGUGAGACAGCAGAUACAACCUACCCCUCUGGCCUUCUCACCUCUCGUGGACUGUGUAGAUGCUGCAGUGGCCCCUGCUCAGUUACAGUGUGACUAUUGGACUUGUUCCUGCUUGCUAUAAGCCCACUGUAUUAGUCCAUUCUCACGCUGCUAAUAAAAACGUACCUGAAACUGCCUAAUUUAUACAGAAAAGAGGUUUAAUUGACUCACAGUUUUGCAUGGCUGGGGAGGCCUCGGGAAACUUACAAUCAUGGCGGAAGGGGAAGCAAACACAUCCGUCUUUACAUGGUGGGAGGAGAGAGAAGAAUGAGAACUGAGUGAAGAAGGAGGCCCCUUAAAACCAUCAGAUCUCCUGAGAAUGAACUCACCAUCAGGGGAAUAGCAUGGGGGGGAAAGGCUGCCAUGAUUCAAUUACCUCUCACUGGGUCCCUCCCACUAUGUGUGAGGAUUAGGGGAACUACAAUUCAAGAUGAUAUUUGUAAGGCCGAGCAUGGUGGCUCACGGCUGUAACCCCAGCGCUUUGAAAGGCCAAGGCAGACGGAUCUUCUGAGGUCAGGAGUUCAAGACCAGCCUGGCCAACAUGGCAAAAACCCAUCUCUACUAAAAAUACAAAAAUUAGCCAGGUUUGUUGGUGGACGCUUGUAAUUCCAGCUACUUCGGCGGCUGAGGCAGGAGAAUCGCUUGAAUCCGGGAGGGAGAAGUUGCAGUGAGCCAAAUGGUGCCACUGUACUCCAGCCUGGGUGACAGAGCAAGACUCCAUCUGAAAAAAAAGAAAAAAAAGAAAAAAUGAUAUUUGGGUAGGGACAGUGACAAACUAUAUCACCCACCAAUUAAAACUUCCCUUGGAAACCUGCUUAGAUAAUGCCCUUAGCCCCCAAAAAAGGCUUCAACUCACAGGUCUUUCUGCCUUUCUUACUCUCUACCUGAUGGUUGAAUGUGUGUGCUAUAUGGCUUCCCAUUUCCUAUUGUCCCUGCAAGACUUGCCCUUUUUUCUCUGGAUCUGUAAGUAAUAAACUGCUUCUGUUAUUUCAUGUGUUUUCUUGAGUUGCCUCCUCUGUGGCUCACCUGAGCAACACACCAAAACCUAUCUUCUUUCCUAGUCAGAGUGCUCCUAGAGAGUGGCUAUGGUAGAAAUAAACUGGACACAAGUCAGACAAGAACCACGAAAAUGUCUGCCCAUAUAAAUGAGUUUCCUGUGAAAGGGACCAGUGAUCACAAAUUGGAUACUUAAAUAUUAGAAUGUAUACAGGGAUAAAGAAGCAUUCUGUGAAAGGCACAUUGUCAUAGGUACAACCAAAUACAAAUCCUCUGGAGCCCCAUCAGGGCAUGGCCAGAGUUGAUAGCUAAUCUCCUAAAAGAGAUCUUGAGACACACACAGGAAAAAAGCACUUUGGCAAAAUACAAUCAUAGCAAGAUUAUGUUAUGUAUAGGCAUUGGAAGUAUGGAUUAUGAUUUUAAAAGUGAGACUGUGGUAGGCCUCAGUAAGAAGAGCACAUGUGAGCUAGUGAGUAGAGGUAAAAGCAUUUGUUAUAAAGAUAUCUGGGGAGACAACCAGUACAAAUGCCGUAAAGUGAAAGUGUGGCUGGCAUGUUCCAGGAAUUUCAAGAAAUACUCCUCCCUCCGUGCCCUCUGUGAUAUGAAGGCCAUGAGUUAUCGGGAGAGCAGAAGAUGAGGUUAGAGAAGAAUUAGAGGCCCAACCACACAGAGGGACUUGUACCAAUGUAAGGAUAUUGUGUUGUUACUUUUAGUUACAUGGAAACCUAUAAGCAGGAUUUUGAGCAGAUAAGUGACAUGAUUUCACAUAUGAUUAAAGAAUCACUCCAGCUGCUCUGCUACAAAUAGACAGCAUGGGGGCAAAGAUAGAGCACAGAGACAGUGAGGAAGCCACUGCAGAAGUCUAGACUAGUAAUGAUAGAGGCUUGGGUUAGAAUGAUGAGUAGUGAGAUAUCAAUGAGAUAGUUAGAAGUAGUCAGAGUCUGUUUACAUUUUAAAGGCAGAGACAGAAAUGUUUCUGAGUGUCUGAUGUGAAGGAAAAAUAUACUUAAGUAUAACAUCACAUGCCAUUUGUGUCUGAAGGCAUGAAAAGCUGAAAUUGUCAUCAACUGAAUUGGAAAAGGUGGUAGGUGAAGUAGAUUUUGGGAGAGAUAGGAAGGAUUCAGUAUUAGAUAUGUGGAAUUUGAAAUGUCUAUAAGACACUCUAGUUGAGAAGUUGAGUAAGUAGUUUGAUUAAUCUGUAUUUUCAAGAGAGAGGUCCGUAUUGGAGAUGGUAUUUGGAAUUCAUUGGCACAUAAGCCAUUUGAUUGAAUGAGAUAACCAAUGAGAUAACCACUGCAGUGGAGAAGUAGAGGAGAGAUUUGAGGAUUGGCUCUUGGAAGUCAAUAUUAUUGUGUAAGAUAUAAAAGAAGAAAAAGAAAGAAGACAAGAGUUAGGAAAGCAAAGAAGAAGAGUAAUAUCCUGGAGGCAAAAUGAGAAAAGUGUAUCAAGAAGGAGAUAAAGGUGGGCUGCAUUAUAUGGUUCUGAUGGGCAGUGUAAAAUCAAAUAUUAGAUUUAGCAAGGUAGAGGUCAAUGAUUACACCAAGAGCACUUUUGCUAGAGUGGGGAUAACUGUAUGAUCAGUGUAGCUUCAUGAUAGGAUAUGUAAAGGAAAUUUGGGAAUAGUGUAUCUACACAACUCUUUCAGGGAGGUUUACUGAAAAGGGAAACAGAGAAGUAGAUUGGUACUUAGUAAAGGAAAUAGGAUCAGGUCAAGAUAAAUUACAUUUUUAAAUGAGAGAAAUUUCAGUUCAUUAUUAUGCUGAUGACAAUGACCUGAUGGGAUUGUUAAUUUUAUGUAUCAACUUGGUGAGUGUAUUGUCCACAGUUGCUUGGUCAAAUACCAGUCUAGAGGCUGUUGUUAAGGUAUGUUUUAGGCGUGGUUAAUAUUUAAAUCAGUAAAUUUGUAUUAAAGCAGAUUACCCUCCGUAAGUGGGGUGGACCUUCUCCAAUCAGCUGAAGGCCUUAAGAGAAAAAAUCACUGAGGUUCCACUAAGGGAAAAUAAUUCUGACUUUAGAUUGGCCUUCAGACUGAAGACUCCAGCAUCAACUCUCCCCUGAUCUCCAGCCUGCUGCUCUUCAGCAUUCACACUUGCCAGUCCCCACAAUGGUGGGAGCCAAUAUGGGGGAUACUGGCAUUCAGUUUAACACCCUGCUCUACAGUGAUUAAGGAGCAGUUAGAGGAUGUGGUAUAGAUACCAUACAUGCAUAGAUUUAGUGACUGGAAUCUGUAAGUUUGCUUUUGGUGGUGGAAGCCACAAUUUCAUCAGCUGCAACUUAGGAAUAGGAAGCAUGGAGGUUUGGAGAGAGGAAAGGACGGCUAAUAAUUAAGAUUUAAUGUGCUAAGGAUAUUUAGUAUGGUUGCUAAAAUGCAUUAAGUUUCCACUUGAAGUUCACGUCAAAAAUCUUCAGUGAAACCUGUCAAUCUGGUUGUGUAUUUUUCUCCAUUCAUGUCAAACCCCAUGGGUGCAGAUAAAAAACAGCUGGAGAGUUAGAUUUAAUCAGAGUGUGGUUUUGUCAUUCAAGUAAAAAGAAACAAGAGAGACCAUGGGAAUCAAGUGUGUGAUCAUGGAUUUCAACUGGGUAAAAAAGGGGGCAAAGACUUUAGAGGAUAAAGAACAGUGAAAUAACAGAAUUAAAGGAUUUAUGAUUCUUGGGGUCUGGGUUAGAUAGUGAACAGUAAAUACAGGAAACCAGAUAAUGUUAUGUCUUUUCACAAAGGGACCGUAUUUUUUAAAAACAGAGUGUUCUUUUAAACCAGUACUCCUCAUGAAAUAAUGAGAAAGAAAGUCUUAAAAAGAAAUUUCUACAAAAAAAAAUUCUAUAGUGAUACAAGGAUUGCCACCAUGUCCAAUUGUAGGCCCUAGAAAACUAGUCUGAACCAUAUAAAUACUAUUUUUUAUUUGUACUACAAUGUAAGUAAUUCUGGUCCAGGUGUCCCAAUCAUGUAGACGGGCCAGAGGCACUGGAUCACGGAAAUAUGUGCCCACAUGUUUAGAGCAAAUUGCUUUGUUACUUGGCAGGAAUCAAUAAGGAAAGCUGGAAUAUUCUUUUUUCUCACAGCUAUGUCAUUUCUAUAUUGCCUGACCUAAAGGAAAAGAAAAAAAAGGGCCAAUGUCUUCAUUACAAGAUAGACUCCUGAGAAUGCUUAUUCCAGCAAAGAAGAAGAUCUUCCUAAAAAACAAGAUUAUAAGUCACAGUCUGUAAGAAAAGAAAAAGUAAAACAAGAUAGACUCCUGAGAACACUAAUUCCAGCAAAGAAGAAGAAGAUCUUCCUAAAAAACAAGGAUUACUCAAAGUUAUUGAGAAGAAAUACAGGUUCUGGUGGACAAUUUCCAGUCUGGAGUCUGCAUUUGGAGAGAUUCUACAGCACAUGCAUGAAUGAGGAGGAGGUGGUGUCCCAAGGGCAUUUAUAUCUUUGCUCUGUAUUUGGAGGAGAAUGGAGAGUUCCAAAUGAUCAGAGCUUGCACAUUACUAGAUCCCCUUUCUAGGGAAAAUGCUGCGAUCAAUUGAAGUUGUCAUCCUCAUGAAGCUCAUACUGUUUUGCCUGAAAAAUAAAUGUAAAUGCACAUUCUUGGUCUUAAAAUACAUAGAAACAAUACUUUUUUCCCUGCUACUAGCUUUGUAAGAUAAAUAGGGUUCAUGUUUAACAUAUAUACUCAAUACUUGGGCAAUUUGUCUUCAUCUAAUGAAUUAUUAUUUACCAUUUUUAAAUUAUCUGCUCAGAUUACAAGAUUCUUUUUAACAAUAACCAAAUUUUAAUUAGUAAAACUUUUGGUCACUUUAUAUUUUCUGAUGUGCAUAUUACAAUAAAAU
This 7036-nucleotide long non-coding RNA is filed under the name Homo sapiens (human). RNAcentral's name for it is "HSALNT0085941". The record is from RNAcentral. Lineage: Eukaryota; Metazoa; Chordata; Mammalia; Primates; Hominidae.